GAUGAACGCUGGCGGCGCGCCUAAUACAUGCAAGUCGAACGCUGGAAAUCUAGCUUGCUAGAUUGAAGGAGUGGCGAACGGGUGAGUAAUACAUAAGCAACCUACCCACGAAGACUGGGAUAAUCUCUGGAAACGGGGACUAAUACCGGAUAGGUAAUCGGAAGGCAUCUUCUGAUUAUUAAAGGUUAAAAACACUGGUGGAUGGGCUUAUGGCGCAUUAGUUAGUUGGUGAGGUAACGGCCCACCAAGACGAUGAUGCGUAGCCGGCCUGAGAGGGUGAACGGCCACAUUGGGACUGAGACACGGCCCAGACUCCUACGGGAGGCAGCAGUAGGGAAUUUUCGGCAAUGGGGGAAACCCUGACCGAGCAACGCCGCGUGAGUGAUGACGGCCUUCGGGUUGUAAAGCUCUGUUGUAAGGGAAGAACGGUAGAUAGAGAAUAUCUAAAUGACGGUACCUUACCAGAAAGCCACGGCUAACUACGUG
This 486-nucleotide ribosomal RNA is filed under the name uncultured bacterium. RNAcentral's name for it is "partial 16S ribosomal RNA". It matches the Rfam family "Bacterial small subunit ribosomal RNA", at positions 28 to 507 of the family's 1533-position model. The record is from RNAcentral.